AGCAGCCGCGGUAAUUCCAGCUCCAAUAGCGUAUAUUUAAGUUGUUGCAGUUAAAAAGCUCGUAGUUGAAUUUCGGGACUAACAGAUUGGUCGCGCCUUUGGUGUGUACUGGUCUAGUUGGUUUCUCCCUUCUGAUGAACCACGACGUCAUUAAUUUGGUGUCGCGGGGAAUCAGGACUGUUACUUUGAAAAAUUAGAGUGUUUAAAGCAGGCAUUAGCUUGAAUACAUUAGCAUGGAAUAAUGAAAUAGGACGUUUGAUCUUAUUUUGUUGGUUUUCUAGGAUCGACGUAAUGAUUAAUAGGGAUAGUUGGGGGCAUUAGUAUUCAAUUGUCAGAGGUGAAA
This 343-nucleotide small RNA is filed under the name uncultured Glomus. Its description in RNAcentral is "SSU rRNA". It matches the Rfam family "Eukaryotic small subunit ribosomal RNA", at positions 569 to 916 of the family's 1831-position model. The record is from RNAcentral. Lineage: Eukaryota; Fungi; Glomeromycota; Glomeromycetes; Glomerales; Glomeraceae.